This 78-nucleotide transfer RNA is filed under the name Acinetobacter baumannii. Its description in RNAcentral is "tRNA-Gln". It matches the Rfam family "tRNA". Rfam says of the family: Transfer RNA (tRNA) molecules are approximately 80 nucleotides in length. Their secondary structure includes four short double-helical elements and three loops (D, anti-codon, and T loops). The record is from RNAcentral. Lineage: Bacteria; Pseudomonadati; Pseudomonadota; Gammaproteobacteria; Moraxellales; Moraxellaceae.
AGGGGCGUCGCCAAGUGGUAAGGCAGCGGGUUUUGAUCNNCCCGCCAUCCGUUGGUUCGAAUCCAGCCGCCCCUGCCA